This 452-nucleotide ribosomal RNA is filed under the name Salmonella enterica subsp. enterica serovar Weltevreden. RNAcentral's name for it is "bacterial SSU rRNA". It matches the Rfam family "Bacterial small subunit ribosomal RNA", at positions 537 to 988 of the family's 1533-position model. The record is from RNAcentral. Lineage: Bacteria; Pseudomonadati; Pseudomonadota; Gammaproteobacteria; Enterobacterales; Enterobacteriaceae.
AGCGUUAAUCGGAAUUACUGGGCGUAAAGCGCACGCAGGCGGUCUGUCAAGUCGGAUGUGAAAUCCCCGGGCUCAACCUGGGAACUGCAUUCGAAACUGGCAGGCUUGAGUCUUGUAGAGGGGGGUAGAAUUCCAGGUGUAGCGGUGAAAUGCGUAGAGAUCUGGAGGAAUACCGGUGGCGAAGGCGGCCCCCUGGACAAAGACUGACGCUCAGGUGCGAAAGCGUGGGGAGCAAACAGGAUUAGAUACCCUGGUAGUCCACGCCGUAAACGAUGUCUACUUGGAGGUUGUGCCCUUGAGGCGUGGCUUCCGGAGCUAACGCGUUAAGUAGACCGCCUGGGGAGUACGGCCGCAAGGUUAAAACUCAAAUGAAUUGACGGGGGCCCGCACAAGCGGUGGAGCAUGUGGUUUAAUUCGAUGCAACGCGAAGAACCUUACCUGGUCUUGACAUC